UCAAACUAAACCGCUUGCCUCCUCUCCCAUCUGAACACCUAGAAUCACUCAAAAAUGUUUUUCCUUCUUUACUGCCUAGAGAAAACCUAGAAAACUAUUAGGAUCAACAAUGCCCGAAAGCCCCAAACAUCACUACCUCAACCACACCCUUUAAUUUUGCUUUGAUUCUUGUUUGCUGGAUAAUUGUGGUUGGUUUUGAUGGUGGUAUUGGCACCAGUAGGGUGUUGGUUCUGGAUAAUGUGAU
RNAcentral lists this long non-coding RNA (244 nucleotides) under Durio zibethinus. RNAcentral's name for it is "long non-coding RNA (DZIB_LNC001325)". Lineage: Eukaryota; Viridiplantae; Streptophyta; Magnoliopsida; Malvales; Malvaceae. The record is from RNAcentral.